This 504-nucleotide ribosomal RNA is filed under the name uncultured bacterium. Its description in RNAcentral is "partial 16S ribosomal RNA". It matches the Rfam family "Bacterial small subunit ribosomal RNA", at positions 29 to 523 of the family's 1533-position model. The record is from RNAcentral.
AUUGAACGCUGGCGGCAGGCCUAACACAUGCAAGUCGGACGGUAGCACAGAGAGCUUGCUCUCGGGUGACGAGUGGCGGACGGGUGAGUAAUGUCUGGGGAUCUGCCCGAUAGAGGGGGAUAACCACUGGAAACGGUGGCUAAUACCGCAUAACGUCGCAAGACCAAAGAGGGGGACCUUCGGGCCUCUCACUAUCGGAUGAACCCAGAUGGGAUUAGCUAGUAGGCGGGGUAACGGCCCACCUAGGCGACGAUCCCUAGCUGGUCUGAGAGGAUGACCAGCCACACUGGAACUGAGACACGGUCCAGACUCCUACGGGAGGCAGCAGUGGGGAAUACUGCACAAUGGGCGCAGGCCUGAUGCAUCCAUGCCGCGUGUAUGAAGAAGGCCUUCGGGUUGUAAAGUACUUUCAGCGGGGAGGAAGGCGAUGUGGUUAAUAACCGCAUUGAUUGACGUUACCCGCAGAAGAAGCACCGGCUAACUCCGUGCCAGCCGCCGCCGCAG